UACCAGCACCCCGAGUGGUCGGGACGUUUAUUGGGCCUAAAGCAUCCGUAGCCGGUUCUACAAGUCUUCCGUUAAAUCCAGCUGCUUAACAGAUGGGCUGCGGAAGAUACUAUGGAGCUAGGAGGCGGGAGAGGCAAGCGGUACUCGAUGGGUAGGGGUAAAAUCCGUUGAUCCAUUGAAGACCACCAGUGGCGAAGGCGGCUUGCCAGAACGCGCUCGACGGUGAGGGAUGAAAGCUGGGGGAGCAAAGCCGG
This 254-nucleotide ribosomal RNA is filed under the name uncultured bacterium. Its description in RNAcentral is "partial 16S ribosomal RNA". It matches the Rfam family "Archaeal small subunit ribosomal RNA", at positions 474 to 728 of the family's 1478-position model. The record is from RNAcentral.